GCACCGUCCCCGGGGGGGUGGCACCGUCCUGGGAGGUGGUGGCACUGUCCGGGGGGGGGGUGUCACCAUCACCUGGGGGGUGGCACUGUCCUGGGGGGGGGAUGUCACCAUCACUGGGGGGAUGUCACCAUCUCCAGGGGGAUGGCACCAUUGCUGGGAUGAAGAUGACGUUGUCCCAGGGGGGGUGGCACUGUCCCCAGGGAGGGAUGGCACCGUCUCCAGGGGGAUGGCACCAUCACUGGGGGGAUGUCACCGUCCCCAGGGAGGAUGUCCCCAUCUCCAGGGGGAUGGCACCGUCCCCAGGGAGGGAUGUCACCAUCUCCAGGGGCAUGGCACCAUCCUGGGGGGGAUGUCACCAUCCCCAGAGGGGGUGGCAGCAUCCCCAGGGGGAUGUCACCGUCUCCAGGGGGAUGUCACCAUCGCUGGGGGGAUGGCACCGUCCCCAGAGGGGGUGGCACCAUCCUGGGUGGGAUGUCCCCAUCACUGGGGGGGAUGGCACCAUCCCCAGGGGGGGUGGCACUGUCUCCAUGGGGAUGGCACCAUCUUGGGUGGGAUGUCACCAUCACUGGGGGGAUGUCCCUAUCCCCAGAGGGGGUGGCACCAUCCUCAGGGGGAUGUCACCAUCUCCAUGGGGAUGGCACCAUCCUGGGUGGGAUGUCACCAUCACUGGGAAGGAUGUCAUGGUCACCAGAGGGGGAUGGCACCAUCCUGAGGGGGAUGUCAUCAUCCCGGGGGGGGGGGUGGCACCACCCUCAGGAGGACGUCACCAUCACCGGGGGGAUGGCACCGUCCCCAGGGGGGGGUGGCACGGUCUCCAGGGAGGGAUGGCACCUUCUUCAGGGGGAUGGCACCAUCCUGGGGGGGAUGGCACCGUCCCCAGAGGGGGUGGCACCAUCCCCAAGAGGAUGUCCCCAUCACUGGAGGGGAUGGCACCGUCCCAAGGGGGGGUGGCACUGUCUCCAGGAGGAUGGCAUGGUCCCCAGGGAGGGAUGGCACCAUCUCCAGGGGGAUGGCACCAUCGCUGGGUGGGAUGCCACCAUCACUGGGGGGAUGUCCCCAUCCCCAGAGGGGAUGGCACCAUCCUGGGUGGGAUGGCACCAUCCCUGAGGGGAUGUCACCAUCACUGGGGGGAUGGCACCGUCCCCAGAGGGGGUGGCACCAUGCCUAGGAGGAUGUCACCAUCUCCAGGGGGAUGUCCCCAUCACUGGGGGGGAUGGCACCGUCCCAAGGGGGGGUGGCACUGUCUCCAGGAGGAUGGCAUGGUCCCCAGGGAGGGAUGGCACCGUCUCCAGGGGGAUGGCACCAUCUUGGGGGGGAUGUCACCAUCACUGGGGGGAUGUCACCAUCCCCGGGGGCGCGGGGAGGGGGGGGGGGAUGGGGCUCAGCAGAGCUGGAAGUAGAAGUCGAGGAGGUGGGUGGCAUCGGGGUGGCGGGAGAGCCCCAGGGGCUGGUGGCCACGGGCCGAGGUGCAGAGGAACCAGCCGGGGUUGGCGACCGACUCGAAGCGCCACAGCCCGUCCUUGUAGGAGCGGAAGAAGGUGAAGGCGGCCGAGGCCACCCCAGCCUGGGGCAGCUCCCUGAUGUCAGCGUCCUGCGGUGGCCACCACACCACCCCACCCCCCCACCCCCGGCGUGGACGUCACCACCCGUGGUGGCCACCUCCGGGACAGCCCCACCUGGCUCUGCCCUGCUCCACAGCCCCAUGGUGGCACCAGCCCCAUGAUGGCCCAGUCCUGUGGUCUCCAGCCCUGUGGUCUCCAGCCCCAUGGUGUCCCCUUGGUGGCCCCAGACCCACAAUGUCCCAUCCCCGUGGUCCCCAUCCCUGGGAUCCCCUUGGUGGCCCCAGCCCCACAAUGUCCCAUCCCCACGGUUCCCAUGGUGGCCCCAGCCCCAUGGUGGCCCCUUGGUGGCCCCAGACCCACAGUGCCCCAUCCCCGUGGUCCCCAUCCC
This 1950-nucleotide long non-coding RNA is filed under the name Calidris pygmaea (Spoon-billed sandpiper). Its description in RNAcentral is "lncRNA (ENSCPGG00000012971.1)". The record is from RNAcentral. Lineage: Eukaryota; Metazoa; Chordata; Aves; Charadriiformes; Scolopacidae.